This 395-nucleotide long non-coding RNA is filed under the name Mytilus galloprovincialis (Mediterranean mussel). Lineage: Eukaryota; Metazoa; Mollusca; Bivalvia; Mytilida; Mytilidae. The record is from RNAcentral.
UGUCUACUUAUACCUACUUUUCUUAUCAUAAUUGUAUUAUUAUAAAUAGCCCUAUUUGAAAAUCUUAUAACUCCAAAAGUGGCAAUGUUAAAUGUAUGAAUGUGCCCGGAGAAAACCACCAACCUUCCAUAGUAAAACUGACAAUCCUAGUUAAUUAAAAAUUGGAGCUGAGUGCAUGCGCACUAGCAGGGUUCAAACUCACAACCUCAGAGUUGACUGACUAGUGAUUACAGUAGUAACCACUUAUACCACUCGGCUACCAAGGCCCCUAAGAUGCUUUAGAGUUGAAGAGUAAAAGAUAAUCAAUUAAUGGCUGACAUUUUUUCUUACCCAUAAGUGAAUGAUUUUAAUUUUUUCUGUACAAAAAAAUAAUGGAAUUUUAAGAAGAAAUGUAU